GACGAACGCUGGCGGCGUGCUUAACACAUGCAAGUCGAGCGGAAGGGCGCGGCUCUUGUGGGGUGCACGAGUGGCGCACGGGUGAGUGAAACAUGAGUAACCUGCACUUGACUUUGGGAUAAAUUCAGGAAACUGGGGCUAAUACCGGGUAGGAGAUCCUGCUGCAUGGGGGGGGUUGGAAAGAUUCGGCGGUUGGGGAUGGACUCGAUGGUUAUCCGCUUGUUGGGGGGGUAGUGACUUACCAAGGCUAUGACGGGUAGGCGGCCUGAGAGGGUGACCGGCCACAUUGGGACUGAGGUACGGCCCAGACUCCUACGGGCGGCAGCAGUGGGGAAUAUUACAGAAUGGGCGGAAGCCUGAUGCAGCAACGCUGGGUGCGGGAUGACGGGCUUCGGGUUGUAAACCGCUUUCGCCGGUGACGAAGCGUGAGUGACGGUAAUGGGUAAAGAAGCACCGGCUAACUACGUG
This 468-nucleotide ribosomal RNA is filed under the name uncultured bacterium. RNAcentral's name for it is "partial 16S ribosomal RNA". It matches the Rfam family "Bacterial small subunit ribosomal RNA", at positions 28 to 507 of the family's 1533-position model. The record is from RNAcentral.